Long non-coding RNA from Stomoxys calcitrans (stable fly), 808 nucleotides. RefSeq lists it as uncharacterized. Lineage: Eukaryota; Metazoa; Arthropoda; Insecta; Diptera; Muscidae. The record is from RefSeq and is a predicted model, not a curated record. The transcript is spliced from 2 exons.
UCGCACGCCACCACCACCUCACAACAUCAACCAGAAGCACGCCGGAGAGCACAUAAGAAAAUAUAUAUUUAAUUUUAAAAGAAAACACAAUGUGCUCAUCCAUCUAGGAAUAUCUCCCUAUUUGGAUCGCCGUCCUAGUUUAUUCAUCGGUGGUGGCGUGCUUUGGCCAUAACAAUUCUAACAUGUUAAUUACCAUAGCACCCCCCACCCCCUUACAGCUAUCGUGGCCUCGCGACUGAUUAUUCGCCUAAGGAUGGCCUGCAACAAAACAUCGGGGAUCGGCGAGGCUCCGCAGACGAAAUCGAUGUGCCAGGACAGGUAGGAUUACCAACGUGGGGAACACCCACACCCGAGAUGUCUCAUGCCGGGCUCUAGACAACGAAUGGUUGGUAACCAUUUCCAGACCCAAUGUUGUCGGCGUGUUGCUGUUCUUGACGCCGCGAAAUGUAACCAUCGCCCGGAACUCCUUGUCAAGAUGGAUGUGCGACAGACCACCGGCUCAUGAAGAUUGCUGUGUCAUAUCUCUACCUGACCACGUACGUGUCCCUCGACUCAGCCACUUUAUGCAAGCAUCAUCUCGUCUUCCAUUUCUCAGGUACCAUAAUCGUUGUGGUUGUCUAGUUUGUGUUCGUAGACGAUAGUUUCUAUUUUGUUUAAAUACCACUUUACCAAAGGGCAACGAAUGAGUUGUUUCUCGCUCAUGAUAACCAUGGUCAACAGACAGACGUUGGCCACUACCUUGUGUUUAUGCAUUUGUUGCUCUUGGGCGAAUAUGAUAGUGAAAAUAAAUCAUUGAUAUGCUAAUCGA